RNAcentral lists this ribosomal RNA (430 nucleotides) under uncultured bacterium. Its description in RNAcentral is "partial 16S ribosomal RNA". It matches the Rfam family "Bacterial small subunit ribosomal RNA", at positions 29 to 507 of the family's 1533-position model. The record is from RNAcentral.
ACGAACGCUGGCGGCAGGCUUAACACAUGCAAGUCGAGCGCCUCGCAAGAGGAGCGGCAGACGGGUGAGUAACGCGUGGGAACGUACCCUUAUCUUCGGAAUAGCUCUGGGAAACUGGAAGUAAUACCGAAUGUGCCCUUAGGGGGAAAGAUUUAUCGGAUAAGGAUCGGCCCGCGUUGGAUUAGCUAGUUGGUGGGGUAAAGGCCUACCAAGGCGACGAUCCAUAGCUGGUCUGAGAGGAUGAUCAGCCACAUUGGGACUGAGACACGGCCCAAACUCCUACGGGAGGCAGCAGUGGGGAAUAUUGGACAAUGGGCGCAAGCCUGAUCCAGCCAUGCCGCGUGAGUGAUGAAGGCCUUAGGGUUGUAAAGCUCUUUCACCGGAGAAGAUAAUGACGGUAUCCGGAGAAGAAGCCCCGGCUAACUUCGUG